GGCGAAGAUAAGACGGAUUAGCGGCGGACGGGUGAGUAACACGUGAGUAACCUGCCUUUUACACAGGGAUAGCCUCGGGAAACCGGGAUUAAAACCUGAUGAAACUAUCAAAUCACAUGAUUAAGAAAGUUAAAACUCCGGUGGUAAAAGAUGGACUCGCGUCCCAUUAGCUAGUUGGUGAAGGUAACGGCCCACCAAGGCAACGAUGGGUAGCCGGCCUGAGAGGGUGAACGGCCACAUUGGAACUGAGAAACGGUCCAAACUCCUACGGGAGGCAGCAGCG
This 283-nucleotide ribosomal RNA is filed under the name uncultured Peptoniphilus sp. Its description in RNAcentral is "partial 16S ribosomal RNA". It matches the Rfam family "Bacterial small subunit ribosomal RNA", at positions 82 to 356 of the family's 1533-position model. The record is from RNAcentral. Lineage: Bacteria; Bacillati; Bacillota; Tissierellia; Tissierellales; Peptoniphilaceae.